RNA transcript from Camellia sinensis, 959 nucleotides. It is a transcript of the gene named Adenine nucleotide alpha hydrolases-like superfamily protein, with no coding region annotated. The record is from RefSeq and is a predicted model, not a curated record. NCBI's taxonomy places the organism in Eukaryota, Viridiplantae, Streptophyta, Magnoliopsida, Ericales, Theaceae.
UGGGGGUAGAUUGAGGGAGAAAGACAAUUUGAACACGGCGGCUUUGCUGUUUAUUUCACUUCUAAUUAUACAAUUCACGAAUCACUCAACUAAUAAUUGAUCAGUUGAUCAGCAGACACCGAGAGAGAGAGAGAGAGAAUGGAGACGUUAAUGGAGGAAGAUAAGUACAAUUGGAGAGAAGUGAAGCUACCGUCGCUAAUACCGGUGGUGGCGGAGCCGGAACUGGAGAGAGAAACCGGCGAGAGACGUCGCGGUCGCGACAUCCUCAUCGCCGUCGAUCAUGGCCCCAACAGCAAGCACGCCUUCGAUUGGGCCCUCGUCCACCUCUGCCGCCUCGCUGACACCGUUCAUCUCGUUCACGCUGUAUCCAGUUUGAAGAACAACAUUGUGUACGAGGCCACUCAGGCCCUUAUGGAGAAGCUUGCUGUGGAGGCUUUUGAGAUCGCCAUGGUGAAGACAUUGGCUCGUGUUGUUGAAGGAGAUGCAGGAAAGGCAAUUUGCAAGGAAUCAGAAAGGAUAAAACCUGCUGCUGUUGUAAUGGGUACCAGAGGCCGAACCUUAAUCCAAAGGGAAGUGUGAGCGAGUAUUGUUUCCACAACUGUAAAACAGCAUCCAUUAUUAUUGUUCCAGGCAAAGAAGCUGGAGAGGAAUCUGUAAUUUAGUUGACUUGAAAGAAGACAUGAAACAGAUUCGACAUCUAUUUGAAACCUUGUUUCAUUGUGAGUAUUCGCAGCUGUUGUGAUGAAGACAAGUUUGCUUCUAUUUUAUGUGAAUCAAUGGUUGUAGUUUUGUUACUCGUAGACAAGAAUUAUGUAUAUUCUUUAUUAAAAGAUGUAUGAUUGGUGAGUGUAAACUGUGUAAUUGUUUGAAAGGCAUUGAAGUAGAACUCAUUGUCUGGCUUCUUAUUAAAUCUGAGCCAUCUAAAUAUCCACAAGUAACAAAUGUGUAAAUUUGAUUCA